RNAcentral lists this ribosomal RNA (460 nucleotides) under uncultured bacterium. RNAcentral describes it as "partial 16S ribosomal RNA". It matches the Rfam family "Bacterial small subunit ribosomal RNA", at positions 338 to 795 of the family's 1533-position model. The record is from RNAcentral.
CCUACGGGAGGCAGCAGUGAGGAAUAUUGGUCAAUGGACGCGAGUCUGAACCAGCCAAGUAGCGUGAAGGAUGACUGCCCUAUGGGUUGUAAACUUCUUUUAUCUGGGAAUAAAAUGUUCCACGUGUGGGAUUUUGUAUGUACCAUAUGAAUAAGGAUCGGCUAACUCCGUGCCAGCAGCCGCGGUAAUACGGAGGGUCCGAGCGUUAUCCGGAUUUAUUGGGUUUAAAGGGAGCGUAGGUGGAUUGUUAAGUCAGUUGUGAAAGUUUGCGGCUCAACCGUAAAAUUGCAGUUGAAACUGGCAGGCUUGAGUACAGUAGAGGUGGGCGGAAUUCGUGGUGUAGCGGUGAAAUGCUUAGAUAUCACGAAGAACUCCGAUUGCGAAGGCAGCUCACUGGACUGCAACUGACACUGAGGCGCGAAAGUGUGGGUAUCAAACAGGAUUAGAUACCCUGGUAGUC